RNAcentral lists this ribosomal RNA (263 nucleotides) under uncultured soil bacterium. Its description in RNAcentral is "partial 16S ribosomal RNA". It matches the Rfam family "Bacterial small subunit ribosomal RNA", at positions 26 to 315 of the family's 1533-position model. The record is from RNAcentral.
AGAACGAACGCUGGCGGCAGGCUUAACACAUGCAAGUCGAACGCACUCUUCGGAGUGAGUGGCAGACGGGUGAGUAACGCGUGGGAACGUACCUUUCGGUUCGGAAUAACCCAGGGAAGCUUGGGCUAAUACCGAAUGCGCCCUUACGGGGAAAGAUUUAUCGUCGAAAGAUCGGCCCGCGUCGGAUUAGCUAGUUGGUGGGGUAAUCGGCCUACCAAGGCGACGAUCCGUAGCUGGUCUGAGAGGAUGAUCACGCCACACGU